Molecule: non-coding RNA, 107 nt
Organism: Cercophora sp. LCS_1
Lineage: Eukaryota; Fungi; Ascomycota; Sordariomycetes; Sordariales; Lasiosphaeriaceae
Source: the annotation of a GenBank genome assembly
GGCUCAUUGGUCUAGUGGUAUGAUUCGCGCUUCGGGUUAUUUACCCAUUGCUUGGAAACAAGUAACAAGUUUGUGCGAGGUCUCGGGUUCGAUCCCCGAAUGAGCCC